UGUGUUUAUGUGUGUGUGUGUGUGUGUGUCUCACUGCAGGUGGUUCAGUGUUUCUGUAUUCAGUGAUUCUGUAUGUAGUUGUUGAAGCUCUGCUCACUGUAGUUCUCUGGAGGAGAACGCUGACCCUAAUGCUGAGGAUGACUCAUACACAGCUCUUCAGCCCACAGCCAGGUCCUCUGAUAUGUACCACACACUUGCAGCUGUUCAGUCCAGUUCUCCUGAUGACCCGUACACAGCUCUGGACCCUCAGUCCAGUACUCAGUAACAGAGAAGGUGAUCAACUCCAUAUACAGUGGAUUCACUUUAGAUCCCUUCAUCAUGAUCCAGUGUGAGUGAACAUGGUGGAUUAGGACUAAGAUUAAGGAUGUUGUAUUGAACUGUGUUUGUGGAUGUUUGUUUUGACGUUGUCUGUUUCUUUGUUGUUCAUGUUUCUCUAUGAUAUCUGUGAGCUCAGUGUUUCUGGAGCUCUGAUUAUUUGGAGAUUAAUUUGAAUUUCUUUAUUUAAUUUGAAUUACUUUAUUUAGAAAAUGAUUUUUUUUUUAUUUUAUCUUUUAAUCUCAGACUUCCUAAGAUGUAAAAUUAAUGAAGUUCUUCUUUUUUCCUCUGUAUUUACUCAUAGCUCCA
This is a long non-coding RNA of Colossoma macropomum (tambaqui), 624 nucleotides long. RefSeq lists it as uncharacterized. Lineage: Eukaryota; Metazoa; Chordata; Actinopteri; Characiformes; Serrasalmidae. The transcript is spliced from 3 exons. The record is from RefSeq and is a predicted model, not a curated record.